This 651-nucleotide ribosomal RNA is filed under the name Staphylococcus aureus. Its description in RNAcentral is "partial 23S ribosomal RNA". It matches the Rfam family "Bacterial large subunit ribosomal RNA", at positions 445 to 1098 of the family's 2925-position model. The record is from RNAcentral. Lineage: Bacteria; Bacillati; Bacillota; Bacilli; Caryophanales; Staphylococcaceae.
UGGGAGGACCAUCUCCUAAGGCUAAAUACUCUCUAGUGACCGAUAGUGAACCAGUACCGUGAGGGAAAGGUGAAAAGCACCCCGGAAGGGGAGUGAAAUAGAACCUGAAACCGUGUGCUUACAAGUAGUCAGAGCCCGUUAAUGGGUGAUGGCGUGCCUUUUGUAGAAUGAACCGGCGAGUUACGAUUUGAUGCAAGGUUAAGCAGUAAAUGUGGAGCCGUAGCGAAAGCGAGUCUGAAUAGGGCGUUUAGUAUUUGGUCGUAGACCCGAAACCAGGUGAUCUACCCUUGGUCAGGUUGAAGUUCAGGUAACACUGAAUGGAGGACCGAACCGACUUACGUUGAAAAGUGAGCGGAUGAACUGAGGGUAGCGGAGAAAUUCCAAUCGAACCUGGAGAUAGCUGGUUCUCUCCGAAAUAGCUUUAGGGCUAGCCUCAAGUGAUGAUUAUUGGAGGUAGAGCACUGUUUGGACGAGGGGCCCCUCUCGGGUUACCGAAUUCAGACAAACUCCGAAUGCCAAUUAAUUUAACUUGGGAGUCAGAACAUGGGUGAUAAGGUCCGUGUUCGAAAGGGAAACAGCCCAGACCACCAGCUAAGGUCCCAAAAUAUAUGUUAAGUGGAAAAGGAUGUGGCGUUGCCCAGACAACUAGGA